RNAcentral lists this ribosomal RNA (461 nucleotides) under uncultured bacterium. Its description in RNAcentral is "partial 16S ribosomal RNA". It matches the Rfam family "Bacterial small subunit ribosomal RNA", at positions 28 to 506 of the family's 1533-position model. The record is from RNAcentral.
GACGAACGCUGGCGGCGUGCUUAACACAUGCAAGUCGAACGGAAAAGCCCUUCGGGGUACUCGAGUGGCGAACGGGUGAGUAACACGUGGGUGAUCUGCCCUGCACUUUGGGAUAAGCCUGGGAAACUGGGUCUAAUACCGAAUAGGACCACGCGCUUCAUGGUGUGUGGUGGAAAGCUUUUGCGGUGUGGUAUGGGCCCGCGGCCUAUCAGCUUGUUGGUGGGGUACUGGCCUACCAAGGCGACGACGGGUAGCCGGCCUGAGAGGGUGACCGGCCACACUGGGACUGGGAUACGGCCCGGACGCCUACGGGAGGCAGCAGCGGGGAAUAUUGCACAAUGGGCGCAAUCCUGAUGCAGCGACGCCGCGUGGGGGAUGACGGCCUUCGGGUUGUAAACCUCUUUCAAUAGGGACGAAGCGCAAGUGACGGUACCUAUAGAAGAAGCACCGGCCAACUACGU